Molecule: unclassified non-coding RNA, 411 nt
Filed under: Bombus terrestris (buff-tailed bumblebee)
Lineage: Eukaryota; Metazoa; Arthropoda; Insecta; Hymenoptera; Apidae
Description: misc RNA ENSBTSG00005038841.1
Source: RNAcentral
AAAUAUAUAUUUACAAUAUAUGUGCAAGUGUUCGAAUACUUUCGUGAGCCACUGUACCUCCUCCUCUUCCCGUGGUAUAACCAUAACGGUAGUUGCGCUUUUUAUUGUGUCCAUGUACGUAAUGUGUGUUUCUCUUUGUUCUUUUGUGUCUCAUUUUGUUGCAACCUCUUUGUGAAGUAGCGAGUGUAUGGGGGAGAGGUCGAAAAAAGAAAUCCAUCGCUUCGGGGACCAAAUUCGGGGCCUCCGAGACGGGCUCUCGAUCAACGUGCACGACGUGUUUUCAAUUCAUCGUACGUCACGCGUGGAUGGAACGUUAUCUACCUUAUUAGCGAUAUUCUCAGCCGAUGAAAACUGUACUUGGCUCUUCUUCGCACGAUCGGAUCGUUUGUAACUGCUACCUGUGCUUGUAAC